AGCUUUGCACGGUGGCAGUAUCGUAGCCAAUGAGAUUUAUCCAAGGCAUGAUUAUUGCUUAAAAAAAAAAAUUCAGAAACAGACUCAAUAGUUAUGGAAAUUUGAUAUAUAGCAAUUUGGCAUUAUA
RNAcentral lists this small nuclear RNA (127 nucleotides) under Otolemur garnettii (small-eared galago). Its description in RNAcentral is "U4 spliceosomal RNA". It matches the Rfam family "U4 spliceosomal RNA". From Rfam's summary of the family: U4 small nuclear RNA (U4 snRNA) is a component of the major U2-dependent spliceosome. The structure of U4 snRNA from yeast and human has been reported. Lineage: Eukaryota; Metazoa; Chordata; Mammalia; Primates; Galagidae. The record is from Rfam by way of RNAcentral.